Molecule: ribosomal RNA, 465 nt
Filed under: uncultured bacterium
Lineage: Bacteria
Description: bacterial SSU rRNA
Rfam family: Bacterial small subunit ribosomal RNA
Source: RNAcentral
GGAGGAAAGCAGGGGAUCGUAAGACCUCGCGUUAAUGGAGUGGCCGAUAUCUGAUUAGCUAGUUGGUGAGGUAAAGGCUCACCAAGGCGACGAUCAGUAGCUGGUCUGAGAGGACGACCAGCCACACUGGAACUGAGACACGGUCCAGACUCCUACGGGAGGCAGCAGUGGGGAAUUUUGGACAAUGGGCGCAAGCCUGAUCCAGCCAUUCCGCGUGAGUGAAGAAGGCCUUCGGGUUGUAAAGCUCUUUCGCAAGGGAAGAAAACUUACUCAAUAACACUGGGUGAGGCUGACGGUACCUUGAUAAGAAGCACCGGCUAACUACGUGCCAGCAGCCGCGGUAAUACGUAGGGUGCGAGCGUUAAUCGGAAUUACUGGGCGUAAAGCGUGCGCAGGCGGUUUUGUAAGUCAGAUGUGAAAGCCCCGGGCUCAACCUGGGAACUGCGUUUGAAACUACAAGGCUAG